Molecule: transfer RNA, 64 nt
Filed under: Coridius brunneus
Lineage: Eukaryota; Metazoa; Arthropoda; Insecta; Hemiptera; Dinidoridae
Description: tRNA-Trp
Source: RNAcentral
AAAGCUUUAAGUUAAUUAAAACUAUUAACCUUCAAAGUUAUAAAUAUCUUAUAGAUAAGCUUUA